GGUUGACAUCUAUCUAGAGUUGUAGAGACGUCUGUGUCCUGUCGUAUCUGCUUCACCCAUGAUCUGUUUGAGUACCUUCGUUUCCUCGGCGGGUCCGCCCGCCGAUUGGACACAUUUAAACCCUUUGUAGUUGCAAUCAGCGUCUGAAAAACUUUAAUAGUUACAACUUUCAACAACGGAUCUCUUGGUUCUGGCAUCGAUGAAGAACGCAGCGAAAUGCGAUAAGUAGUGUGAAUUGCAGAAUUCAGUGAAUCAUCGAAUCUUUGAACGCACAUUGCGCCCCUUGGUAUUCCAUGGGGCAUGCCUGUUCGAGCGUCAUUUGUACCUUCAAGCUUUGCUUGGUGUUGGGUGUUUGUCUCGCCUCUGCGCGCAGACUCGCCUCAAAACAAUUGGCAGCCGGCGUAUUGAUUUCGGAGCGCAGUACAUCUCGCGCUUUGCACUCAUAACGACGACGUCCAAAAAGUACAUUUUUUACACUCUUGACCUCGGAUCAGGUAGGGAUACCCGCUGAACUUAAGCAUAUCAAUAAGCGGAGGAAAAGUAACCAAACA
RNAcentral lists this ribosomal RNA (551 nucleotides) under Allophoma tropica. RNAcentral describes it as "eukaryotic LSU rRNA". The stretch from base 165 to 318 matches the Rfam family "5.8S ribosomal RNA". Lineage: Eukaryota; Fungi; Ascomycota; Dothideomycetes; Pleosporales; Didymellaceae. The record is from RNAcentral.